Anolis carolinensis (green anole) is the source of this 4617-nucleotide long non-coding RNA. RefSeq lists it as uncharacterized. The record is from RefSeq and is a predicted model, not a curated record. NCBI's taxonomy places the organism in Eukaryota, Metazoa, Chordata, Lepidosauria, Squamata, Anolidae. The transcript has 2 exons.
UUUUUUUUUUGGCAGUCUCACAAGUUCUAACCAGGGUCUACCCUGCUUGGUUUCCAAGAUCACACAGACUCUGUUGCCUUUAGGAUACUUAGUCAGAUACUAAUGAAAUACCUCUCCUUAAAACUGUUUGACCUUUUUCUUGCAAAAGUAUUCAAAGCAAAAGAGUCAAAUUCUGUUGACGCCCAAGAGCAUAUUCGACAAUGUAACACUUCAGUCAUGUUCACAUCAAUGAAAAUUGCUGUGUUUGAUCUUCCUAGAACGGGCUCAUACACUCACUCAGCUCCUGGAGUUUCCAUACACUUUGUGUUUGAAAGAAAUCACUAUACUCAAUUCAAGACCACUGACUGAUGAGGAAACACACCAAAAAAGCAAGAGCAUUUUUUCUGGAUAUCCUUCAAUCAAUAUAUUUUGGCUGCUGUAGAUAAUCAUGCCGGCCACAUGACCUUGGAGGUGUCUACAGACAAUGCUGGCUCUUCGGCUUAGAAAUGGAGAUGAGCACCAACCCCCAGAGUUGGACACGACUGGACUUAAUAUCAGGGGAAACCUUUACCUUUUUUUAAACUGCGCUGAGUCCCUUCGGGGAGAGAGGGCGGUAUAUAAAUAAAGUUUUACUUACUUACUUACACUUACCCAGGCCACAACAGUCUCACACAGAAAGAAUGGGUGAUUCGCCUGUGACUGAUCAAGCUGCAUGUAUUGUGGAUGAUCAUGUUGGUGUCCCACUGCAUUUCUGACUCUUUACAGAUGGUGUACUUCAUGCACAUAUACCAUGCCUAGAACUGUGCAUUCUUGCACAGUAUAUAAUACAAUAUGUGGUCUGGACAGCAAAGAGGAUAUGCUCCUAACACUGUUGGCACUAUAGUGUCCUAUCAAUUCUACAGUGUGUGCUUGUAUGAACAUCUCCAAUAGAUAUCUCACACUGAAGAGGGUGCAAGCUUGUUUUCUGAUGCUCUGGAGACUAGGACAUGGAGAAAUUGAUUCAAAUGACAGGAAAAGGGAUUCCACCUGAAUAUUAGGAAGAAUUUCCUGAUAGUAAGAGCUGUUCUGCAAUGGAAUACGCUGACUCGGAGUGUGGUGGAAGCUUUUUCUCUGAAAGAUUUUAAGCAAAGGUUGGAUGGUCAUUUGUUGGGCUGCUUUGAUUGUGUGUUACUGCAUGGCAGGGGGUUGGACUUGAUGGCCCUUGUGGUCUCUUCCAACUCUAUGAUUCUAUGAAAGCACACAAAGUAACCCUUAUACCUUACAAUCACUAGUACGAACUAUCAGAGGAGGUCAGGUGACCAAGGAAAUUCUGAUCCUGUGAUGCCAUCAAACCUCUCGGAAUAAGAAUGGAUUGAUUUCCCAGCGGAGGAGGAAUUCCACUUAGAACAGUGGUUCUCAACCUGCGGUUUCCAGAUGUUUUUGGCCCACAACUCCCAGAAAUCCCAGCCAGUUUACCAGCUGCUAGGAUUUCUGGGAGUUGAAGGCCAAAAACAUCUGGGGACCCCAGGUUGAGAACCACUGACUUGGAAUGAGGCAAAAUCUCCAACUCAUGAAAUUAGAUACUAUUUCCUUUGACUCCCAGAGAUAUGAUAACAAUCAGGUCUUCUCAUUUCCUAGCAUCCUAAGCACAUAGUGAAUGAGAGGGAUUGUUAAAAACAUAGAGGUAGAAAUAAGAAGGGUGUACUGUACCACAUGCUUUUAGAGGUUCAUCAGACCAGUCCCUGCAGUCCCUGUGUGAAUCGCACACCUUGACUUCCUCUAUGCACUCUCCACUCUUACACUGAAACUUGUUGGGACUCUCGCACGCCGCUUCUGUUGUGUCAGGCAAGGAAGGGAAAGCAGCUGAAGUUAGAUUAAGCACAUGAAAAUGAAGAUAGAACAUUAGCAUGCAGGACUGGUGUAAUUUAAAAGAAAUGAGAUGGGAGUUAAGCGAUGAGAUAUUUAGUGGCAACGUAUGAGAAGAGCAAUGCUUGUUAAAGCUCUAGGAUUUCCCUGCAGAAACAUCCUUGAUGGAGCAUUCUAUAAGUUCACUAUAAGGAGCAAUCAUACACUAGCUCUGGGAAAUUGACUGGAUGCUGUCCCUAACAUCCAAGUUUUUUUGAGUAAUGAUUUCUUCCACACUUUGUACUCAGGAUGAAGGUGCGGUCAUGCAUACCAUUAACACAGCCAGCUUCAUCACUGUUGUCUGGACAGUCAUGGACUUUGUUGCAUUGUUUGGCUCCAUGGAUACAAGUCCCAUCGCCACACUGGAAUUCAUCGGGGCUGCAGGUCACCAGGGCUGGAAAACAAAGGAAUAGAAAGAAGCUUUAUGAGCUGUUGUGUGUUUGGAUACGCCUAUGAGGUUAAAUAAUCACCAGGGUUGCUUUCAGGGCCUCUGGGAAGGUUGGGGGUGACCAUUUUAUUUUUCAUCCUCAAAACCAUCCCGUCUGGUGAGUUAGACUGAACAAUGGUGACUGCUGAUCUCGGGAAUUACUCAUUGAUAAUCCAGGUUUCAGAUAAAUUAUGUUUACACUUCAUAAGUCUGCUAUUUGGGGAUGACAGAUCCUGCUAAUAACACUUUCUCCUACCAUUUGGAUAUCCUUUUCCAUCCUAGUUGCCUUCCAUCUAUUUUAUUCCAAGCCCAUUUGCUUAGGAACACAUCCCAGAUGUCAGGAAAACACACUGAAGACUUCAGGUGAAGCAAAAUAUCUACUUCACAGCAAAAUUUCGAACUGUACAAUUGCUGCAGCCUCCCUGAAAACAUUGAUUUGACUGUUCCCUUCGUCACUCCCCAACCCUCGGGGAAUUGCCUCCUCACUCUAAAUGACAGAAAAUCACUGCCCUUGACUAGCUAGUGCAAUACAACACGUGUGAUCCAAGAAUCUCACAGCAAAGUCGCCCUGACAAUUUAACAAACUGUCCUCAACAGCAGAAUUAUGGCUCUACAAUAUACCCUGGAGGCAACGAGCAAGAACAUAGCAGGUACCAGAAUGCACCACUUAAUAUGGCACUAAUGUAAUUCAUCAUGCAGGACAAACACACUACAGGGACCCCAGAUCUCUGUGGUGAGCCAUGCUUCAGCAAACAGAAUGCUGGCAUAAAGCUUUAUAUAUUUGUUGCAAUUUGUAUCUCAUCAAAGCCUUUAAACAGUAUCACAUGUACAAAUGCAUAUGUGUAGAUUACAGUAUUCACUGAAAGGUAGAUGCAUGAGUGAAGCAAGGCUUCCACCUCAGCAGAUUCUAAAAAGCAAAAUUUGGAAAAGUUACUUUUUGGACUGUAGAGGCCCGGAAUCAAUAUGGCCAGCAACUAUGUUAACUGAGUAUCUCUGGGAGUUAUAUUUCAAAUAGGUAACAUUUCCCAUUUCUGCUAACAAGAUCCCUCUACAACUCCCACAUGGAGAUACAAUAAUAUACUUAUGUUACAACAUGAGAAUUUGUUUGGAAUGCCUCCCAUAUUUUUGGGAUUUCUAUUUUAUUCCCUUGUUUUAAGGAGACCAACUGUCAAUAACAACAACGACAAUUUUAAAUCAUGCUUUCCAAAGUGGCAAACUGUCAAACCACAGCCUACUUCAACUUAAACUACUACAGUCUAGUAACAUUAAUGGCACUAAACCAAUGAAAACAAUAUUUUUACUCUUCCCACCUGGGGAUCCAAGUGGUCAUGGAACCAAACUUGUUUUUUAUCUUUCCACAAAAGCCUCUCAGUGCUAAGAAAAUAUUUAGCAUGUUCACAUGAAACCAUUGAUGGGGACCGGACAUAAAAGGAUAAAAUUCUGCUUAGUACUUGCACAUGGAAACAGAGGUGUGACAGUAUCAAUUCACCAACACUAUAAAAUGGGAAUACAACAGAGAAAUUUGGAAACACAAUUCAUUAUACAGAGUAUAGUAAGCUGAGAACGUAAGAGGAUGGGACACCAUGGGGUUAUUCAACACAAAUGCCAACAAGAAAUGUGAAUACUAGAAGGAUUCAGAGGCUAGUUUGUACUCAUGUUCUGUCAUAUAGUGAAAUCCACCCAUCAAACUGCUUACAACAUCAGAUGCCAACUAGUAUAAUACAACAGAUGGACACAUUUGGAGCAAUUAAUCCAAAAUCACACUUGGGAGCUUGUAACACAAAUGGAAACUAUUAGGUUUGCAUUUGUACAGGGUUGCUUCCAAAUACUUAUACUAAUCAAUCUAAUCUCGCUCCAUCCGUUCCUCCCUGAAAUACUCCCCAUGCUGGUUUUCCACAGACCUGUAAGUGCUUCAUGUCAUUAAAGCAGAGAUGGAAAUCAUGUAUCCUCAACAUGUGGUUGGACAGGACUCCCAUAACCUCUCACUAUGGGUCAAGCCGGCUAGAGCUGCUGGGAGUUGCAGUCUGACAAAGACUUGGAGAGCUGUAUGAUUCUCAUUCCCUAUUUUAUAAGUAUUUAUAUGAAUACUCAAGUCAGAAAUAUUUGCCUUAUCUUGAAUGUUUCUAGCUCAAUACUACCUGUUUAGAUCAGCAGUCUUUUUCUGGUGUCCUAAGCAAAUUAUAUCUGCUUACUUUUGGGACAUAAGUUGUGAUUGCCUAAGCACAAGACAUUACCGGUGAUUGAAAAUAUAUUACCUGUAUAUCAAUAUCAAGAAAAAUCAACUGCUAUAAAUGACUUUUCUUAAUAAAACCUUUUAUUUCUUUUUC